Pelobates cultripes (western spadefoot toad) is the source of this 1013-nucleotide non-coding RNA. The record is from the annotation of a GenBank genome assembly. NCBI's taxonomy places the organism in Eukaryota, Metazoa, Chordata, Amphibia, Anura, Pelobatidae.
CACAGAAACACACCUUGCAUCCCUUACACAUACAAACACAGAUUCACACAAUGCAUCCCUUAAACACAACCAGAAACACACAACACAUGCCUUACACACAAACACACACUGCUUUCUAUCCCUUACACAAAAACACACUGCAUCACCUAUACAAACUGGUAUCCCUAUACACUACAUUCCAUAAGCCCACACUUUAGAUCCUCUACACUAACGCAUCCCCUACACACUCCACUCCCUGUGAGCAAACUCAUGGGUGGAACAUGUAGGUGGACUUAUGGGUGGACUCACAGACCUUGAACUGUGCAAGCGGCCCCCCAAAAAUGGAGCUGCUUCCCGUUCCCCCAAAACAUUGACUUUUGUGACCACAGUUACAAGCAACCACCAGAGAUCCUGUUCUACACCAGACCAGUGGAGCCAGACUGCAGCCAGAGCCCAUCACCAUCCUCAUCUGGUUGUAAGUAUACAAUCCAGUAUAUUACUCAUUGAACUAAUCUCUAAUUUACAUUAAAGGGACACUAUAGUCCCCAGAACCACUGCAGCUUAAUGAAGUGGUUCUGGUGUCUAUAGCCGGUCCCUGCAGACUUUUUAAUGUAAACACACACUGUGUGCAGCACUGGCAUUAGUUUAUAUGGCAGGUCAUAUGGGUGGGGCAUUGUGAUGUCACAUGAGGGGUGGGGGGACGGCAAAUUUUUAUCCUUGCACCGGCCCUGGUUUCAUGUGAAAUCAUCCAUGGUCUCAACGUUCAGAGGUGUAUUUCUUAACUGUGAAGGAAUAGAAUGACUUCUGGCAAAGGUAAAAUCCAUAAAAUGUCCGGCUGCCCCUAAGUUUAACAAUGCUACAGUAUUUAGUUAAUUCUUCUCUCAGAUUAGGAAAUGGGAAUAUGGAACCUGUGAUCUUUGUCUUUAUACAUGCAGGACAUAGUAGAAACACCCAAAGCCUGUCAUCCAGCAGAACUUAGAUGCGGGAGGUUUCAGGCCUACAAGGAUAAGUUCAGCGAGAAUAACUUGUUUCUG